AAAAAAGCAGAGGUCUGUACUUUUCUCCUCUGAGCUAGUCUCUCGUAAACUUCAGGAAAACUAUUUGCACCAUUAUUGGGUGAACCUUUGUAAACUAUACUUGUGAAUAAAGGUUCAAAAAAUAUUGCUACAUUA
RNAcentral lists this small nucleolar RNA (135 nucleotides) under Amborella trichopoda. RNAcentral describes it as "Small nucleolar RNA snoR74". It matches the Rfam family "Small nucleolar RNA snoR74". Lineage: Eukaryota; Viridiplantae; Streptophyta; Magnoliopsida; Amborellales; Amborellaceae. The record is from Rfam by way of RNAcentral.